GACGAACGCUGGCGGCGUGCCUAAUACAUGCAAGUUGAGCGCUGAAGGUUGGUACUUGUACCAACUGGAUGAGCAGCGAACGGGUGAGUAACGCGUGGGGAAUCUGCCUUUGAGCGGGGGACAACAUUUGGAAACGAAUGCUAAUACCGCAUAAAAACUUUAAACACAAGUUUUAAGUUUGAAAGAUGCAAUUGCAUCACUCAAAGAUGAUCCCGCGUUGUAUUAGCUAGUUGGUGAGGUAAAGGCUCACCAAGGCGAUGAUACAUAGCCGACCUGAGAGGGUGAUCGGCCACAUUGGGACUGAGACACGGCCCAAACUCCUACGGGAGGCAGCAGUAGGGAAUCUUCGGCAAUGGACGAAAGUCGGACCGAGCAACGCCGCGUGAGUGAAGAAGGUUUUCGGAUCGUAAAACUCUGUUGGUAGAGAAGAACGUUGGUGAGAGUGGAAAGCUCAUCAAGUGACGGUAACUACCCAGAAAGGGACGGCUAACUACGUG
Molecule: ribosomal RNA, 497 nt
Filed under: uncultured bacterium
Lineage: Bacteria
Description: partial 16S ribosomal RNA
Rfam family: Bacterial small subunit ribosomal RNA
Source: RNAcentral